GUGCACAGCUCUCAUCUCGCAGCCAAAACCACUUUACUAUCUCGCAGCCAACCUGUAGCAAAAGCUAAUCAAACUAGCUAUCAAUCAUGAGCUCCGGCGGCGGCGUCUGCGGCGGCGGCGAUCGUGGACCUGGCGCACAACGGCAACCUGCGGGCGAACUGGGUGGCCAUAUGCAUGCAGUUCCACGGCUUCUGCCAGCGAACCAGCGGAUCCGUCGUUGCCUCCUUCCUCACCGUCGUCAUCCUCAUGUUCCUCGUCAUCUUGGCCGCCUGCUCUAUCCGCAAGCGCUAGCUUAAUCAUCUUGCUAGCUAAUUAAAAAAGAUUGUGCUUAAUUAUACAUGCAUAUAAUAUUUACGUUUGAUUUCUAUCUGCAUGCGCGAGCGAGUGCGUUUUUAUUUUCGAAUUGUAAUCCUCUUCUGUACUACAUGCAUUUCUUUACUUGUGAGCAUUGGCAUUGGCGAGUGAUCGAGCAGUAGUGCAUUGUAAAAGUUCACCUGUGCAUCUAUCGUUUCACUUUCUUUCUUUCUUGUAAAAGAUCAACGUUGUGUGAUCAUCGUGCUCUGUAAUCUGAAUUGAACAGCUUGUUUAAAAC
Molecule: small RNA, 592 nt
Filed under: Oryza sativa Japonica Group (Japanese rice)
Lineage: Eukaryota; Viridiplantae; Streptophyta; Magnoliopsida; Poales; Poaceae
Description: misc RNA Os04g0684300
Source: RNAcentral